CCUACCAAGGCGACGACGGGUAGCCGGCCUGAGAGGGCGACCGGCCACACUGGGACUGAGACACGGCCCAGACUCCUACGGGAGGCAGCAGUGGGGAAUAUUGCACAAUGGGCGAAAGCCUGAUGCAGCGACGCCGCGUGAGGGAUGACGGCCUUCGGGUUGUAAACCUCUUUCAGCAGGGACGAAGCGAGAGUGACGGUACCUGCAGAAGAAGCACCGGCCAACUACGUGCCA
RNAcentral lists this ribosomal RNA (234 nucleotides) under Rhodococcus (subgen. Prescottella) defluvii. RNAcentral describes it as "Rhodococcus defluvii partial 16S ribosomal RNA". It matches the Rfam family "Bacterial small subunit ribosomal RNA", at positions 264 to 510 of the family's 1533-position model. The record is from RNAcentral. Lineage: Bacteria; Bacillati; Actinomycetota; Actinomycetes; Mycobacteriales; Nocardiaceae.